This 1648-nucleotide long non-coding RNA is filed under the name Citrus x clementina. RNAcentral describes it as "Citrus clementina (C. clementina) long non-coding RNA (CCLE_LNC003846)". Lineage: Eukaryota; Viridiplantae; Streptophyta; Magnoliopsida; Sapindales; Rutaceae. The record is from RNAcentral.
UUGUUUUCAAUUUUUUAUAUAAAUUGAAAUAAUUUGACACACUAUAUAUUGAUGUAAAAUAAAUCAUUUUCAAAUGUUUAAAAAAAGCUAAUUAAAGCCCUAAUCUUUACGUUAGGUUAAAAUAAUUUUUCACCACUUGAGAGGUGGAUAACGCCCAACUGUCACCUCACCUGUACCAUCACAAUGUGACUUGUCCUUGUUUGUUCUUCAAUUUUUCUUUAUAUUUUGAACUUUUAAUUUUUUUCUGGAUAAUUCGUGAAAGGGGGUGGGCAGAGGUUAGGUGUGGUACGGAAUGGAAUAGAACCGAUUGCUAUUGGUUUUUUAUGAAAAAAUUAAAACCGAAAAAAAUAGUAGGUUUGAUUUGGUUCGAUUAUGUUAGUUUUUGGGCCCAUUGUGCUUUUUGAAUUUCGAAACCCAUUUCAACUUCAUUUAAUUUCUUUUUUCCUAAUUUUAAACUUGUCACAGUGUCACCUGCUGAAUUAAGAUCAGGAAAGCAUAGCAAAUACAUCACAAAUACAAUAAUUAACCCAAAAAAAUUUCAAAUUCAUCACUACCUAGUAGCUACUACCGCUAUAACAUUAUAUGAAAAAUUAGGGAUAUAAAUCCGAAAUUCCCAUGUCUCAUCUAUCUAAAUAAAUAUAAUGAUGUAAAGAAAAUAAGAGUAACACCAUAAUGCAUGAACAAACAUCAUCAACAUUCAACAUUUGGACUUUGCCAUAUGCUCCUCAUUCAACUGCCAUUUUGCUCCUCAGCUUCUCGUUUUUGUUGAGCUAGCAUUAGGCCUCAAAAAUUAUACAAGUAAUUAAAAUAAUCAUAUCAAAAUCAAUGUUGAAAGUGAGCUUACCAAAAAUAACACAACAAAUAACAUUAUUACAUGCGUCAAUUAAUUUAUAGAAUUCAAUUUCCUCCUGACUUGGUUGUAUUAUGUGCUCUCUUACUAGAGUUGAGUAAAGUCAAUUUUGAGUGUAAAUGAAGGACUCAAUUGUUUUAUGAGUUAAAGAAUUAUUAAAGGAAUGAAGAAUACACUCUUGUGCUAAAUGCUGACUCGGAAGCCACGGCAGACAUUAGAAUCACCAAAACAUUUUUGACAAUUUGAGAUAAAAUAGAUACAUAAACUCAUUCAACUUCUACCAAAAGAGAGGAAAUUAGGACAAACAUGUUUUUAUGUACAAUUUUUUUUUUAAUAGUUCUAGGUUUUCCAUUUCCUACACAACAAUUAGGAUUUUUAAUGCCUACUUGUGUGACGGAGGCUAUUGAAGAUGGCUACUGAAGAUAGCAGAGAAGAUUGCAACCUUCUUCUACUUCAUCAAAAAUUCAAGGUAUGUUUAUACCCCCUAUGCAUAUAUAUCAUAACUAAGAAAAGUUCAUGGCUUUCGUUGUAUGAAAAAUUAUUCUUUUUUAGGUUUGAUUUCUAACAUAUGAUUCAUUGAACUUAUGGUGUGUUUACUUCUUUGAAUAAGGAAAGAGAAUAGAGGAAUGAGAAUUACAGGUAUGUUUACUUAACAAAAUUGAAUUUGGGAAUGUGAAUAAAUUAUGUGGGACCCAUAUAAUUUGGGAAUAAAGAAUGAGAAUCUCAUUCCCAUGGGGGGUUGGGAAUGAAAAUGUGGGAAUGAGAAUGAAACAUAAUUUUACUUUUCUAUCCUUCUAA